This 709-nucleotide ribosomal RNA is filed under the name uncultured bacterium. RNAcentral's name for it is "bacterial SSU rRNA". It matches the Rfam family "Bacterial small subunit ribosomal RNA", at positions 104 to 810 of the family's 1533-position model. The record is from RNAcentral.
GGGUGCGUAACGCGUAUCGAACCUGCCGCAUACCCGGGGAUAGCCUUGCGAAAGCAAGAUUAAUACCCGAUGUUCUCACUGUUCCGCAUGUUACGGUGAGCAAAGAAUUUCGGUAUGCGAUGGCGAUGCGUCCCAUUAGCUAGUUGGCGGGGUAACGGCCCACCAAGGCUCCGAUGGGUAGGGGUUCUGAGAAGAAGGUCCCCCACACUGGAACUGAGACAUGGUCCAGACUCCUACGGGAGGCAGCAGUGAGGAAUAUUGGUCAAUGGACGCAAGUCUGAACCAGCCAAGUAGCGUGCAGGAUGACGGCCCUCCGGGUUGUAAACUGCUUUUAGUUGGGAAUAAAAGGGGGCUCGUGAGCCCCGUAUUGUAUGUACCAUCAGAAAAAGGACCGGCUAAUUCCGUGCCAGCAGCCGCGGUAAUACGGAAGGUCCGGGCGUUAUCCGGAUUUAUUGGGUUUAAAGGGAGCGUAGGCCGGCUUUUAAGUCAGCUGUGAAAGUCCGCGGCUCAACCGUGGAAUUGCAGUUGAAACUGGAGGCCUUGAGUGCACACAGGGAUGCCGGAAUUCAUGGUGUAGCGGUGAAAUGCUUAGAUAUCAUGAAGAACUCCGAUCGCGAAGGCAAGUGUCCGGGGUGCAACUGACGCUGAGGCUCGAAAGUGCGGGUAUCAAACAGGAUUAGAUACCCUGGUAGUCCGCACCGUAAACGAU